CCUACGGGCGGCUGCAGUGGGGAAUAUUGGACAAUGGGGGGAACCCUGAUCCAGCCAUGCCGCGUGUGUGAAGAAGGCCCUCGGGUUGUAAAGCACUUUCAGUGAGGAAGGACGCCUGGUGGUUAAUACCCAUCAGGAAAGACAUCACUCACAGAAGAAGCACCGGCUAACUCCGUGCCAGCAGCCGCGGUAAUACGGAGGGUGCGAGCGUUAAUCGGAAUUACUGGGCGUAAAGCGCGCGUAGGUGGCUUGAUAAGCCGGUUGUGAAAGCCCCGGGCUCAACCUGGGAACGGCAUCCGGAACUGUCAAGCUAGAGUGCAGGAGAGGAAGGUAGAAUUCCCGGUGUAGCGGUGAAAUGCGUAGAGAUCGGGAGGAAUACCAGUGGCGAAGGCGGCCUUCUGGACUGACACUGACACUGAGGUGCGAAAGCGUGGGUAGCAAACAGGAUUAGAUACCCUAGUAGUC
This 465-nucleotide ribosomal RNA is filed under the name Vreelandella stevensii. Its description in RNAcentral is "partial 16S ribosomal RNA". It matches the Rfam family "Bacterial small subunit ribosomal RNA", at positions 338 to 795 of the family's 1533-position model. Lineage: Bacteria; Pseudomonadati; Pseudomonadota; Gammaproteobacteria; Oceanospirillales; Halomonadaceae. The record is from RNAcentral.